The sequence is an intron RNA, 355 nucleotides long. It matches the Rfam family "Group I catalytic intron". Rfam says of the family: Group I catalytic introns are large self-splicing ribozymes. They catalyse their own excision from mRNA, tRNA and rRNA precursors in a wide range of organisms. The core secondary structure consists of 9 paired regions (P1-P9). The record is from Rfam.
AUGCUUUAGCUGCCUAAGCAGCAACAAGCACAGUCGUCCUAGCUGGUAACGGCUAGUGAUUAUAAUUGGGUGAAUUGCUGGAAACCCCUAAGAGCUUUUCUUACCACAGCGUAGUUGGAAACAACAGGCGCAACGGUUUAAAAAAAGAAAAGAUUGGGCAAUCAGCAGCUAAGCUCCUGUGAGGAAACUCUGGAGAAAGUUCAACGACUAAGAUAGACCGUCUAAGGCAGCCUGCUAUGACGAUGAAAUCUGUAGGAUAAAAAUCUGCUGUUCCGCUUAUUUAUAUCCGAAGUGCCCAACCCCUACUUUUUUUGAGAGGGUGAAGAUAUAGUCUAGUCAUUUGUAAAAGCAAAUG